RNAcentral lists this ribosomal RNA (340 nucleotides) under Medetera saxatilis. Its description in RNAcentral is "partial 12S ribosomal RNA". The record is from RNAcentral. Lineage: Eukaryota; Metazoa; Arthropoda; Insecta; Diptera; Dolichopodidae.
AAGAGUUUAUUUUUAUUGUCGGAGUAGUAAUAGUUAAGAUCUUGAAACUCAAAAAAUUUGGCGGUAUUUUAGUCUAUUUAGAGGAACCUGUAAUGUAAUCGAUAAUCCACGUUGGACCUAACUUAAUUUUGUAAAAUUCAAUUUGUAUACCGCCGUUUUUGAAAAUUUUAUUAGAAAAAUAAUUUUCAAAAUUUUUUAUGUGAAAGUAAGUCAGGUCAAGGUGCAGUUAAUAAUUAAGUUUUGUAUGGGUUACAAUAAGUAUAUUUAAGCGGAUUGUAAAAUGAAAUUUUUAUAUGAAGAUGGAUUUAAAAGUAAAUUUUUAUAGAUGAAAAUGUUGAUU